RNAcentral lists this ribosomal RNA (476 nucleotides) under uncultured bacterium. Its description in RNAcentral is "bacterial SSU rRNA". It matches the Rfam family "Bacterial small subunit ribosomal RNA", at positions 28 to 516 of the family's 1533-position model. The record is from RNAcentral.
GACGAACGCUGGCGGCGUGCCUAACACACGCAAGUCGAGCGGGGAUAUUUCCUUCGGGAGAUAUUCUAGCGGCGGACGGGUGAGUAACGCGUGAGCAAUCUGUGCUUGACAGGGGGACAACACGUUGAAAGACGUGCUAAUACCGCGUAAGACCACAGGGUCGCAUGGCCUAGAGGUCAAAGGAGAAAUCCGGUCAAGGGUGAGCUCGCGUCUGAUUAGCUAGUUGGUGAGGUAACGGCCCACCAAGGCGACGAUCAGUAGCCGGCCUGAGAGGGCGAACGGCCACACUGGGACUGAGACACGGCCCAGACUCCUACGGGAGGCAGCAGUGGGGAAUAUUGGGCAAUGGGGGAAACCCUGACCCAGCAACGCCGCGUGAGGGAAGAAGGUUUUCGGAUUGUAAACCUCUGUCAUCGGGGAAGAAACAAAUGACGGUACCCGAUGAGGAAGCCCCGGCUAACUACGUGCCAGCCGCC